GUUUAUCUAAUUUACUUUUUGUUGACAGGUCAAGAAUCCUCUAACUGGCUGCAACGCCUUAAGAUCGCAUUGGACUCUGCCUACGGACUGGAAUACCUGCACAAAUCCUGCAGCCCACCCUUGAUUCAUAGAGACGUGAAGACUGGAAAUAUCCUACUUACUUCAAAUCUGGAGGCAAAAUUAACGGAUUUUGGCUUUACAAGGGCUUUCAGCAGUGGUACGAGAACACACACAACCACCCAACCAGCUGGUACCCUAGGUUACCUGGACCCAGAGUACUACGCGACCUCUCAUCUGAGUGAGAAGAGUGACGUGUACAGCUUUGGCGUCGUUCUGCUGGUGCUCAUCACAGGCCAGCCAGCCAUCAUCAUCAUCAGCGACAUAGAGAGAACCAACAUCUCUCAUUGGGCACGCCACAGGCUCUCUGACAGUGCGACCGACCCGACGGUAAGAGGAGACUGCGACAUCAACUCUGUGUGGAAGGUGGCGGAGCUGGCCCUGCGGUGCACGGAGCACACAGGGCGGGACCGGCCGACGAUGGUGGAGGUUGUGGAGGGGAUCAAAGAGAGCUUGCAGCUGGAGACCUCUUUGCGCUCCAGGAGAUGCAGCUCGGAUGGAACAGGCGGUUCGGAGUUUUCGGACGGCGAGACUGUUGGUGCGCUGGAGACAGAACUAAUCGGAGAAACAUCAGCGCAUUAA
RNAcentral lists this ribosomal RNA (699 nucleotides) under Triticum aestivum (bread wheat). RNAcentral describes it as "partial small subunit ribosomal RNA". Lineage: Eukaryota; Viridiplantae; Streptophyta; Magnoliopsida; Poales; Poaceae. The record is from RNAcentral.